ACGGUGAGGGAUGAAAGCUGGGGGAGCAAACCGGAUUAGAUACCCGGGUAGUCCCAGCUGUAAACGAUGCAGACUCGAUGAUGCAUUGGCAUAUAGCCAGUGCAGUGUCGCAGGGAAGCCGUUAAGUCUGCCGCCUGGGAAGUACGUACGCAAGUAUGAAACUUAAAGGAAUUGGCGGGGGAGCACCACAAGGGGUGAAGCCUGCGGUUCAAUUGGAGUCAACGCCU
RNAcentral lists this ribosomal RNA (227 nucleotides) under uncultured crenarchaeote. Its description in RNAcentral is "partial 16S ribosomal RNA". It matches the Rfam family "Archaeal small subunit ribosomal RNA", at positions 694 to 920 of the family's 1478-position model. Lineage: Archaea; Thermoproteati; Thermoproteota. The record is from RNAcentral.